This is an RNA transcript of Cydia fagiglandana, 1193 nucleotides long. It is a transcript of the gene named granzyme B-like, with no coding region annotated. The transcript has 7 exons. The record is from RefSeq and is a predicted model, not a curated record. Lineage: Eukaryota; Metazoa; Arthropoda; Insecta; Lepidoptera; Tortricidae.
GUGACAUAAUCAUUGGAUGUAGGUGUUGGAGUAAUUGAAAUCAGUCUAAAUAUUUACUCGGUUCGUUUGGCAAGAACUUUAGUUGCAGUUUUUUAUUAUUUUCUUCUCAGAAUUCAGAAAAACAUGUUGGCAUACCUUCUCCUAUCGCUGUCCAUCUCGACAGUUGCCAGCGAGAUGACAGGCUUCAUAGUGGGAGGGCAUGAAGCCAUCAUGAGGGAGUGGCCCUUCAUAGCCUACCUGCUGGCUCAUAGGGGGCGCGACUCGAUAGCGGCGUGCGGGGGGUCGCUUAUAAGCUCCCAGACCAUUUUGACAGCAGCGCAUUGCCUUGACGAUGUCACCAACAGAAAGAAGGAUGUCGAGAAAAUCAAAUACGUCAUCUACAUGGGCCACCGCCUCCACCGACGAGCGACCAUGCGUCGAGACAUGUUAGAUUACAUGACUCACGAAAACUACGAUCCUGACGACGUUUAUUUCGACAUAGGAAUUAUGUUCCUUGCUAAUCCAGUGCAGUUCUCUCACACUGUUAAGAAGGUGAUGCUGAUGACUGGGGAGAUGGGACGGCAUAUGGGGCAAGAAGGGGGGUUGGCGGUGGCUGGCUGGGGCAGAUUUGGGUGGGAUUCCCCUGGCAGUGAGUACCUGAAAAGCCUGGACCAGACGCUCCUCAGCCAAGACUUAUGCUACCAGUACAUAGACGAGCCUGAGAAUGCGCCGGGAAUCAUUUGCGGUGCCAAGAAUGCGGAGGUCAACUCAUCUGAGUACGCUUUUAGCGGUGACUCUGGUGGUCCGCUGGCGCGGCCACGAGACCAGCGGCUGGCGGGGCUGGUGUCCUGGCGGAUGGAGUCCCACGGGGUCACCGUGUACACUAGCGUACCCUUUUUUUACUCCUGGAUAGAGGACACGCAGUUAAAAUUGUUUAGGCGGUACUGUGGUAAGACCGGAUACGAGGGUUAAUUCAGCACUUUUGCCGGAUCUGGACACAUCACCUUUAUAUUAAUAGAAUAAGUACAUAUAUCGGUUACAUUGCCGAUUUAAGCACUCCAUAAUAUUAAUCAUUCCACAGUAAAAUUAGUUGCUUACAUUGAGUUAUUACCUACUAUAGAGAAGCUGAAAUUGUCGCAAUCGCAACCUAUACCAUGCGACUAAAAUGUCGUAAGCGCCAUGAAAUUCAUGGCGCUUACGCGUCUAGGUCGCGA